Ictalurus punctatus (channel catfish) is the source of this 727-nucleotide long non-coding RNA. NCBI's taxonomy places the organism in Eukaryota, Metazoa, Chordata, Actinopteri, Siluriformes, Ictaluridae. The record is from Ensembl.
GUCUCUGUGUGCGGUCUCUGUGUGCGGUCUCUGUGUGCGGUCUCUGUGUGCGGUCUCUGUGUGCGGUCUCUGUGUGAGGUUCCGUGUGAGAUUCCAUGUGAGGUCUCCGUGUGAGGUUCCGUGUGAGGUUCCGUGUGAGGUCUCUGUGUGACGUUCUGUGUGACGUUCUGUGAUCUGGCUUGUGAUUGAGCUGAUGAUUUUCUGCUCGUAUGCAUAUUGAUUAUGAUGUUCAGGAAUUUGAGAUUCCUUCAUUUCCUGGAGUUCCACAUGUUCCGUUUACCAUCACGUUGUGUUCUUCAUGUUUCUUUCAUCUUUAUUAACUUUGUCUCUCUUGUUUCAUUAAAUUGAACUUAAGUUAGCUUUUUUUUAUUUGCACAAUCAAAUACAACAUAAACCUACAAACAGGGUUUUCAGAGGGCUUAGUGGAUGUAGCUUACCUUUAUGUGUACAUGUUGAACAUACUGAAAUACACUAGAGAUGCACUGAAUGUGCGGCAACCGAAAUUAUUCGGCCGAAAAUAGCAAUAAGUGAAAAGGCAGAAUAAAUUUGUCCGAACAAUGAUGUGUUUGAUGAUGCGACCAAAUAGCCUAGCAACCAGAGUGAGACGCGCGAAUAUCACGAUCUCAGCGCUCGGAGAGAUGAGGGGGCGCGCGCAUGCACCAGCUACGUGCACGAGUGCUCAGAGAGCGCAUGCUCUUCGGAUGUUGACAACCAUGACAUUGUUUAC